AACGAACGCUGGCGGCAUGCCUAACACAUGCAAGUCGAACGAGACCUUCGGGUCUAGUGGCGCACGGGUGCGUAACGCGUGGGAACCUGCCCUUAGGUUCGGAAUAACUCCCCGAAAGGGGUGCUAAUACCGGAUAAUGUCUUCGGACCAAAGAUUUAUCGCCUUUGGAUGGGCCCGCGUUGGAUUAGCUAGUUGGUAGGGUAAAAGCCUACCAAGGCGACGAUCCAUAGCUGGUCUGAGAGGAUGAUCAGCCACACGGGGACUGAGACACGGCCCAGACGCCUAGGGGAGGCAGGCGUAGGGAAUCUUCCGCAAUGGGCGAAAGGCUGAGGGAGGGACGCAGCGUGAGUGAUGAAGGUCUUCGGAUCGUAAAAAUGUGUUAUUCGGGAAGAAAAAAUGGGUAAGUAACUAUGCACGGCUUGACGGUAGCUAAUCAGAAAGCCACGGCUAACUACGUG
RNAcentral lists this ribosomal RNA (458 nucleotides) under uncultured bacterium. RNAcentral describes it as "partial 16S ribosomal RNA". It matches the Rfam family "Bacterial small subunit ribosomal RNA", at positions 29 to 507 of the family's 1533-position model. The record is from RNAcentral.